UACGGAGGGUGCAAGCGUUACUCGGAAUCACUGGGCGUAAAGAGCGCGCAGGUGGUUAAUUAAGUCUGAUGUGAAAGCCCACGGCUUAACCGUGGAGGGUCAUUGGAAACUGGUUGACUUGAGUGCAGAAGAGGUAAGCGGAAUUCCUGGUGUAGCGGUGAAAUGCGUAGAUAUCAGGAGGAACACCGGCGGCGAAGGCGGCUUACUGGACUGUAACUGACGUUGAGGCUCGAAGGCGUGGGGAGCAAACAGG
This 253-nucleotide ribosomal RNA is filed under the name uncultured Lachnospiraceae bacterium. Its description in RNAcentral is "partial 16S ribosomal RNA". It matches the Rfam family "Bacterial small subunit ribosomal RNA", at positions 524 to 776 of the family's 1533-position model. The record is from RNAcentral. Lineage: Bacteria; Bacillati; Bacillota; Clostridia; Lachnospirales; Lachnospiraceae.